AAAAGACAAACGACAGACAGACAGACAGACAGACAGUCAGUCAGUCAGUCAUGGCUGGCGGCGUUACUGUGAAUAUUUAAUGUUGUAUUGGGUUCAACAUGCGAACUGGCGAUGCUUUGUAACAUUGCUCAGUGGCUUUGUGAAACAGCUCUGUCCAGUAACUACUGACAACCUGCUACAUGUUGUUAAAUGAGCCGUGUGCAACGUAACCACAGACGGUAUCCUCACAUUCACGGCGACAGGCACCGGAGGCUAAAAGCGACAGACAGCUUCAUAAACUAACGUCACGUAUUAUUUUCUGCUCCCUUUAACGUCACCACAAGAUUUAAAUCACCUGACACAACGUUUCUGAUCAUGACCUCCAAGAGCAGCAGUAAUGAGGAGCAUGUGAAGGGAACAAGCUGCCACAUGACCUCUCCUGCCACAUGACCUCUCCUCUUUAAACACCACCUUUAUAAUAAUUACAAGUAAAUUACAUCAAAUAUAGACAGAUAAGGUGCACUUUCUACUUUUCAUUCCACCUCCAUUCCUUAAAGCCCUGCGUGAGCUCAGGUGAUGAAAAUCUCUUCUCAGAAUGUUUUAAUUAAAUUUUACACAGCCUUA
Molecule: long non-coding RNA, 603 nt
Organism: Dicentrarchus labrax (European seabass)
Lineage: Eukaryota; Metazoa; Chordata; Actinopteri; Moronidae
Exons: 2
Source: RefSeq, a predicted model, not a curated record